Molecule: ribosomal RNA, 538 nt
Filed under: Nectria cinnabarina
Lineage: Eukaryota; Fungi; Ascomycota; Sordariomycetes; Hypocreales; Nectriaceae
Description: eukaryotic LSU rRNA
Rfam family: 5.8S ribosomal RNA (bases 189-342)
Source: RNAcentral
UCUGUAGGGGGACCUGCGGAGGGAUCAUUACCGAGUUUACAACUCCCAAACCCCUGUGAACAUACCUAUUGUUGCUUCGGCGGGAUCGCCCCGGUGCCUCUGUGCUCGGAUUGAGGCGCCCGCCGGAGGCCCCAAACUCUUGUUUUUUUUUAGUGAUAUCUUCUGAGUCUCACAAACAAAUAAAUUAAAACUUUCAACAACGGAUCUCUUGGUUCUGGCAUCGAUGAAGAACGCAGCGAAAUGCGAUAAGUAAUGUGAAUUGCAGAAUUCAGUGAAUCAUCGAAUCUUUGAACGCACAUUGCGCCCGCUAGUACUCUAGCGGGCAUGCCUGUUCGAGCGUCAUUUCAACCCUCAAGCCCCCGGGCUUGGUGUUGGGGAUCGGCCGCCGCUAAACCCGGUGGCCGUCCCCUAAUUCUAGUGGCGGUCUCGCUGUAGCCUCCUCUGCGUAGUAGCACACCUCGCACUGGAACGCGGCGCGGCCACGCCGUAAAACCCCAACUUCUGAAUGUUGACCUCGGAUCAGGUAGAUGCCCCGGAG